This is a long non-coding RNA of Canis lupus familiaris (dog), 895 nucleotides long. RefSeq lists it as uncharacterized. The record is from RefSeq and is a predicted model, not a curated record. The transcript has 3 exons. NCBI's taxonomy places the organism in Eukaryota, Metazoa, Chordata, Mammalia, Carnivora, Canidae.
AGCCUCGUGCCGCGGCCCUCGGGGCUCGGCUGGCGACCUCGCGUGGGGAGGAGGCGCUGAGGCAGCGCAGGAGGCCGGCGGCGGGCUCCGACACCUGUGGGUCCGGGUGCCAGUGGGCACCGUCGACCAGUGUCCGGCUCUGCGGCGCCGGGUCUUCUCGGCAGUCGGGCUGCCAGCGGCAAGAGAAGACCUACAGCUCUUUCUUACACCCCAGUGAACCACCUAGCCUAUGCAGAAGAAACUAAUGAUGGAUGGAAAAUAGAGUAGCCUGCUCUGCUCAUCCUGUUGGUCAUGGCUCACCAAGUUUGACCAGUGUAGCUGUGGAGCCAAGAUGCCAGGUACCUUUUAACUACCAUGCUGUUGGAAGCCAGAUUUUUAGAUGGUAAAUAUCUUAGACUAGCAGACAUCUGUUGCAACUACCCAACUCAGCCAUUGUACUGAGAAACCAACCAUAGACAAAUGGACAUGACUAUGUUCCAAUAAAACUUUAUUUACAAAAUAGGCAGCUUGAUAUCCAAAUUGUACAUUUUCAUGAAGCAUGCCUUUAUUAUAGGUAAUUGUCAUGUUAAAGUGUGACUUAAAAUGUAAGUGUUCAAUACAAAUUUGUGUAAAUAAAGCACAUAAUUUUUCACCCUACACACACAAAAAAGAGUAGAUCUACCAUAUUCAUUGAUGUAGUUAGUGGUCAUUUUUUCCCCCUGUGAUGGUUGUGACAACCAGAAGUCAGCUAAAACACAGCUUUUUGUUGGAGGACCUGCAGCAAUGUUCCUGGUUUGCACAGAGGCGUCUAUUAUGUGGAAAUACAGAGAGUAAGGAGAGAGGUGCUCCAGAACUAGGGCAUGGGGCAGGGUUCAAAGUCAUUUGGUUUCCUCCCCCUACUUUCCCACAGCCCACU